UACAGAGGUCCCAAGCGUUGUCCGGAAUCACUGGGCGUAAAGGGCGCGUAGGUGGCGCGGAAAGUCAACGGUGAAAGCUUGGGGCUCAACCCCGAGUCGGCCGUCGAUACUUCUGGGCUUGAGCACUGUAGAGGCAGGUGGAAUUCCAGGUGUAGCGGUGAAAUGCGUAGAUAUCUGGAGGAACACCGGUGGCGAAGGCGGCAUCCUGGACCAAUUCUGACGCUGAGGAGCGAAAGCCAGGGGAGCAAACGGG
This 253-nucleotide ribosomal RNA is filed under the name uncultured bacterium. Its description in RNAcentral is "partial 16S ribosomal RNA". It matches the Rfam family "Bacterial small subunit ribosomal RNA", at positions 524 to 776 of the family's 1533-position model. The record is from RNAcentral.